UAAUUGGCGAUGAAGAGAAAGAGUACAAAAAGGAAUUGUCAGCAGCGAGGAUGGGAAAGGUGUAAGCCAUCGGCGAGGAAUUUUUGGAAGUGCAUCUCUGAGCAGAAGGGCAGAAAAUGAAGUAUGUCUUUCCGUAGUAACUGCGUUAAAGUUUUGAGUAGAAACGACUUUAGUCGUUUAAUCAGAGUGGAACCGCGGAAUUUUUCGUCUCUGGA
Molecule: non-coding RNA, 215 nt
Filed under: Desulfosporosinus acidiphilus
Lineage: Bacteria; Bacillati; Bacillota; Clostridia; Eubacteriales; Desulfitobacteriaceae
Description: T-box sequence
Rfam family: T-box leader
About the family: Uncharged tRNA acts as the effector for transcription antitermination of genes in the T-box leader family.
Source: RNAcentral